RNAcentral lists this unclassified non-coding RNA (2417 nucleotides) under Hevea brasiliensis (rubber tree). Lineage: Eukaryota; Viridiplantae; Streptophyta; Magnoliopsida; Malpighiales; Euphorbiaceae. The record is from RNAcentral.
AUCUUCACCAUAUCUUGCUUUCUGAUUCCUUCUCCCAUUUCUGUCUAUCGAGAGUGAGCAAAUCCAAAAAUCCGAAUUCCGGAAAUCAGAACCAAAAUGGAGUCUUUUGAAUCCAACUGGAUCAACGAAGAUCACCAAAUCAACAACACUCACGCCGCCAGUAACACAGAUCACGGCUGGCAAAAGGUCACCUACACCAAGCGCAACCGGAAGCAGAAGCCAGCGGACUCUGCCUCCGCUGCGAAUGCUGGUAAAGUCAAUGGAACCGCCAUCCCCAACGAAAAGUCUAACGUCUUCCGCUCCUUGGAGCAGCAAUCUGAAGAGCGCCGCCGCCGAAUCAUUGAGUCUCAGAGAGAUGCAAUUGCCGCCGUUGAGGCUCCGGUGAGAUCGAAGCAUCGAUCUGACGAUGAGGACGAAAAUGAGGAUGAUAGCGACGAUGCUGCGCCUUCCAAAGGAAAUGAGAAGAUGGAAGAGAAGAAGGUGAAGCAGAAGAAGCCAAAGAAACCGAAGGUGACUGUGGCAGAAGCUGCCGCGAAGAUUGACUCGGCUGAUCUCGCUGCUUUUCUUGCUGAUAUAUCGGCAUCGUAUGAGGGUCAGCAGGAGAUACAGCUAAUGAGGUUUGCGGAUUAUUUUGGAAGAGCGUUUUCUUCCGUGAGUUCAGCUCAGUUUCCAUGGGUGAAGUUUCUCAGGGAGAAUACGGUGGCGAAAAUGACCGAUAUUCCCCUCUCUCACAUUUCUGACGCUGUUUAUAAAACAUCAGUAGACUUUAUUAACCAGCGCUCCAUUGAGGCACUUGGUUCCUUUGUGUUGUGGUCUUUGGAUAGCAUCCUUGCAGAUUUGGCAAGCCAGCAAGUUGGAUCAAAGUCUGCUAAAAAGGGUGUGCAACAUGUAUCGUCAAAAUCCCAGGUUGCUAUCUUUGUGGUCCUAGCAAUGGUGCUGCGAAGAAAGCCUGAUGCUUUAGUUAAUGUAUUGCCAAUGUUGAGGGAAAGUUCAAAGUAUCAAGGACAAGACAAACUUCCUGUUGUUGCAUGGAUGAUAGCCCAGGUCUCUCAAGGAGAUUUGGCUGUAGGGUUGUACUCAUGGGCACAUAACCUCUUGCCUAUAGUGAGCGGCAAAAGUUCUAAUCCACAGUCCAGGGAUAUAAUUUUGCAGCUAGUAGAAAAAAUUUUGUCUUCCCCAAAGGCUUGUACAAUUUUAGUGAGUGGUGCUGUUAGAAAGGGGGAGCGCUUGGUGCCACCUUUUGCAUAUGAGAUACUAUUGCGAGUAACAUUCCCUGCAUCAUCAGCUAGAGUAAAGGCUACUGAGAGGUUUGAGGCAGUAUAUCCUAUCUUAAGAGAGGUGGCUUUGGCUGGCUCCACUGGAAGCAAAGCAAUGAAACAAGUAUCAUUGCAGAUACUAAGUUUCGCUAUUAAAGCAGCUGGAGAAAGCAAUCCCGAGUUAUCCAAGGAAGCAGCUGGCAUUUGUAUCUGGUGUUUGACCCAGAAUGCUGAAUGCUACAAGCAUUGGGAUAAGGUUUACGAGGAGAAUCCAGAAGCUAGCAUUGCCAUUCUUAAAAAACUUUCUGAGGAGUGGAAAGAGGUCUCUGUGAAACUGGCUCCUCUUGACCCUCUGAGGGAAACUCUGAAAAAUUUUAGGCAGAAGGUAAUCACUUGUUCUUUUUAGCAACUUUCAUAUUAUUUGAUGACCGUAAUUAAGUUCCUAUGUAAAGGCAGUUGACUCACCAUCACAGUUGCGAGCUAUAACAGAAUGGUUGUCUGUAAAGUUCAGUUACAUUAAUGUAGGUGUAAUAAAUUUUCUAAUUCUCAGUUUAUUUUUGCCUAUAGAAUGAGAAAGCUUUGGCAAAGGGAGAAGAUUCUGCUCACCAAGCAUUCUUCAGGGAUGCUGACAAGUACUGCAAGUUGAUAUUGGGAAAGUUAUCCCAUGGCCAUUGUUGCGCAAAAAGUUUGGCUUUUGCUGUCAUUGCUCUGGCUGUUGGUGCUGUCUUCCUUUCGCCAAAUAUGGAGUUCUUGGAUUGGGAGAAACUGGUUGUAGUUGUCAACUCCCAAUUCUCUCGAUUCUCUUCCUGAGUGGGAUGUCAUACUGAUAUCGACGACCAUUGGUGCAAAGCAUCAAGUUGUUUUUAGGAUACUAGUUUUCUUCAAUUUUGUACUUCUGAUUCUGAUUAAGAGAAAAAGGAAAAAUUUUCAGCAUGAUAUUUAUAGUCUCAUUUGGUGAUUCACAUACAGUAUGAGGAACAUAGGCUGUUAUAUUCUUGAAAAAAAAUAUGCAGUGCCCUGGAAAAAAUAAAGAUGAGGAAAACCAUCUGAUGGGGGUGUUGUUAUUUUAGCAAGAAUGUCAAAAAAUAGUUUGAUUUGAGCUUUUUGUGGGUAUCAAAGACUAGGCAUCUAUUUAAAUAGACAAGUAGCCGCUAUCUGUUU